RNAcentral lists this ribosomal RNA (1005 nucleotides) under Triticum aestivum (bread wheat). RNAcentral's name for it is "partial small subunit ribosomal RNA". Lineage: Eukaryota; Viridiplantae; Streptophyta; Magnoliopsida; Poales; Poaceae. The record is from RNAcentral.
AUGCGGUUUGCGGUGACAAAAGUGUGCGCUAGUGGAGCAAAGGCUCGCGCGGGGUUGCUCCAGAUUGGAAGCAGCGGUGUUGAGACGCCAGCGCUGCUUUUGUCCACACGCAAGGGGCUGCCGGCGUUUAUGUCUCCUGACCUGCUUUCCUCCCUCCCCCUUCCAGACUCCCUCCUCCUCAAUGUCUGCCCAACCCACUUUAUAGAGGUUCCUCCAUCAAAAACCAUAUCUAAUAUUGGUGGUUUGCAUCGUAUGCUGGGUCUGCCUGAUCAUAUCCUCGUAGCCGCGGCUGGUGAGUCUACCGAGUGUUUACCAUCAAGUGACGCCACCAAUAAAUUUGGUGCAUCUUUUGAAACACCUGCGGGUCGUAAACUGGUCAAACCAUCAGACUAUAUGGAGUUGAUUUCCUGCUUGCAACCUAAUUUGUGGGCAAGCUUGGCAGAUGAGGUUCCAGCCUGGGUUAAUGAGAAACGGAACAAAACAUCUGUUGAGCGAACACUACGCUGGCUUGACGCAUGUAUUGCUUUGGAUGCGGCUUCUGGGAGAAACUCUUUAGGUGUAGUUGUUGGGGGGUCUAGUAUAGAACAACGAAAACUGUGUGCCACUGAAGUAUCGAAGAGGAAUGUAUCAGGCUUUUGGAUUGGAGGGUUUGGCCUUGGAGAGAGUGUGGAAGAACGUUGCAGUUUACUCAAUGCAGUAACAGAUUGUUUGCCAUUGGGGAAACCUCGUAUUGUCUCUAGGCUUGGGCUUCCAGAGGAGGUCUUGGAGGGUGUAGUCGAUGGCUGUACCUGCUUCACGUGCCAGAAUCACACCCGUGCUUACCUCAAUCAUCUGAUCAAUGUCCACGAGAUGCUGGCUCAGAUUCUACUGGAGAUACAUAACACGCAUCACUAUCUCCGGUUCUUCCGGUCGAUACGGGAGGCGAUCAAGGCCGGAGAGUUCGACAUCUUCUGGAAGCAGUUUGUUGAGAACAGGCGCUCCCAGAUUGCUGCUGCUGCGAUGUAG